GGGCCCGCACAAGCAGUGGAGCAUGUGGUUUAAUUCGACGCUACGCGAAGAACCUUACCAGGGCUUGACAUCCUCUGCCGGUCGUAGAAAUACGAUUUUCUGGUUUUACCAGACAGGGAGACAGGUGCUGCAUGGUUGUCGUCAGCUCGUGUCGUGAGAUGUUGGGUUAAGUCCCGCAACGAGCGCAACCCCUGUUCUUUGUUGCCAGCGGUUGAAGCCGGGCACUCAAAGGAGACUGCCGGAGAUAAUUCGGAGGAAGGUGGGGAUGACGUCAAAUCAUCAUGGCCCUUAUGUCCUGGGCUACACACGUGCUACAAUGGCCUGUACAACGGGCAGCGACGGAGCGAUCCCGAGCCAAUCCCUGAAAGCAGGUCUCAGUUCGGAUUGCAGGCUGCAACUCGCCUGCAUGAAGUCGGAAUUGCUAGUAAUCGCGGAUCAGAAUGCCGCGGUGAAUACGUUCCCGGGCCUU
Molecule: ribosomal RNA, 469 nt
Filed under: uncultured bacterium
Lineage: Bacteria
Description: bacterial SSU rRNA
Rfam family: Bacterial small subunit ribosomal RNA
Source: RNAcentral